RNAcentral lists this ribosomal RNA (274 nucleotides) under uncultured bacterium. RNAcentral describes it as "partial 16S ribosomal RNA". It matches the Rfam family "Bacterial small subunit ribosomal RNA", at positions 523 to 796 of the family's 1533-position model. The record is from RNAcentral.
AUACAGAGGGUGCGAGCGUUAAUCGGAAUUACUGGGCGUAAAGCGCGCGUAGGCGGCUUAUUAAGUCAGAUGUGAAAUCCCCGGGCUCAACCUGGGAACUGCAUCUGAUACUGGUAAGCUAGAGUUUGGGAGAGGGAAGUAGAAUUUCAGGUGUAGCGGUGAAAUGCAUAGAGAUCUGAAGGAAUACCAGUGGCGAAGGCGACUUCCUGGCCUAAAACUGACGCUGAGGUGCGAAAGCGUGGGUAGCAAACGGGAUUAGAAACCCCUGUAGUCC